RNAcentral lists this ribosomal RNA (447 nucleotides) under uncultured bacterium. Its description in RNAcentral is "partial 16S ribosomal RNA". It matches the Rfam family "Bacterial small subunit ribosomal RNA", at positions 29 to 523 of the family's 1533-position model. The record is from RNAcentral.
AACGAACGCUGGCGGCAGGCUUAACACAUGCAAGUCGAGCGCCCCGCAAGGGGAGCGGCAGACGGGUGAGUAACGCGUGGGAAUCUACCUUUUGCUACGGGAUAGCUCCGGGAAACUGGAAUUAAUACCGUAUGUGCCCUUUGGGGGAAAGUUUUAUCGGCAAAGGAUGAGCCCGGGUUGGAUUAGCUAGUUGGUGGGGUAAAGGCCUACCAAGGCGACGAUCCAUAGCUGGUCGGAGAGGAUGCCCAGCCACACUGGGACUGAGACACGGCCCAGACUCCUACGGGGGGCAGCAGGGGGGAAUAUUGGACAAGGGGCGCAAGCCUGAUCCAGCCAUGCCGCGUGAGUGAUGAAGGCCCUAGGGUUGUAAAGCUCUUUCACCGGUGACGAUAAUGACGGUAACCGGAGAAGAAGCCCCGGCUAACUUCGUGCCAGCCGCCGCGGUAA